This 757-nucleotide ribosomal RNA is filed under the name Escherichia coli. RNAcentral describes it as "partial 23S ribosomal RNA". It matches the Rfam family "Bacterial large subunit ribosomal RNA", at positions 483 to 1239 of the family's 2925-position model. The record is from RNAcentral. Lineage: Bacteria; Pseudomonadati; Pseudomonadota; Gammaproteobacteria; Enterobacterales; Enterobacteriaceae.
ACCGAUAGUGAACCAGUACCGUGAGGGAAAGGCGAAAAGAACCCCGGCGAGGGGAGUGAAAAAGAACCUGAAACCGUGUACGUACAAGCAGUGGGAGCACAGAGCAAUCUGUGUGACUGCGUACCUUUUGUAUAAUGGGUCAGCGACUUAUAUUCUGUAGCAAGGUUAACCGAAUAGGGGAGCCGAAGGGAAACCGAGUCUUAACUGGGCGUUAAGUUGCAGGGUAUAGACCCGAAACCCGGUGAUCUAGCCAUGGGCAGGUUGAAGGUUGGGUAACACUAACUGGAGGACCGAACCGACUAAUGUUGAAAAAUUAGCGGAUGACUUGUGGCUGGGGGUGAAAGGCCAAUCAAACCGGGAGAUAGCUGGUUCUCCCCGAAAGCUAUUUAGGUAGCGCCUCGUGAAUUCAUCUCCGGGGGUAGAGCACUGUUUCGGCAAGGGGGUCAUCCCGACUUACCAACCCGAUGCAAACUGCGAAUACCGGAGAAUGUUAUCACGGGAGACACACGGCGGGUGCUAACGUCCGUCGUGAAGAGGGAAACAACCCAGACCGCCAGCUAAGGUCCCAAAGUCAUGGUUAAGUGGGAAACGAUGUGGGAAGGCCCAGACAGCCAGGAUGUUGGCUUAGAAGCAGCCAUCAUUUAAAGAAAGCGUAAUAGCUCACUGGUCGAGUCGGCCUGCGCGGAAGAUGUAACGGGGCUAAACCAUGCACCGAAGCUGCGGCAGCGACACUGUGUGUUGUUGGGUAGGGGAGCGU